UUUCCACUACAUCCCAGCCAAAUCCUGCUGGUACAUGUAUAUGUGUUUGCAGGAUCAGGCCUUAAAAGGAAAAUACUAAAUAUGUCUGUUUUUUAUUCUAUAUUAAUUCACUUUUUAAUAGCUGGGUUUCCUGCCGGGGCAAGGAAGUGAAUAUCCAGAUCAAGACACAAUAAAUUCCUCAUGAACUUCUGCUAUGAAAUCCUGGGCACAGCCAGAACCAGCCAGCACAUGUCUCUGUAACUUUUUCAGUGAGGAUUUUGCAGACCAUGUUGUGUAACACCUUCCUUCGUUUGUCACCUGAAAAUAUUGCCUGUGCAAUGAGAGACCCUGUCACAAGCACACAUUUUUGUGGACUCUAGGCAUAACCUUGUACCUGCUGAUUUCAGUGACUUCACAGCAGGGUGAAUUUUGCUGGUUAAAGGUCAAGAUGUAUUAGAAGCGCAGAGAGCUGAAGUCCAUGGGAGCUGGUUAAGGUCUGGAGUGUGUGAUGCUGCUCUGUUAUCACUGUGAAAAAUAGCAGUUUUGCCUGUUGUUUGGUCCUAUAGAACAACCAGUUCCGACAUCUAGGCUAGCACCUGCCUGUGGAGGAUUGUCCCAGCCAGUAUAUUCAACCUUUUUUUCAGUUUUAAAUUACUCAAGCAGAAGGACUUCUGCUGCUUCCCAUAGGAUAUUCUUCCACAGCCCGCUGGAGAAGGUUUGCCUGUUCUCAUCAUACAGGAGAGUCACAACAGACGUAGAUGACAAUACGACUCCCUUCAAGUUUUUGCCAAAAUGUAAAUCCAUCCCAGAGUGAAUGCACAUCUGCAGCUACUGAGGUCCAGUGUGGACUAGGAAAACUAGGGUGAAAUACAGGACAUGAGCAGCUCUUUCUGUGAUGCUGGGUGACAGUAUUCCUGCCAGUGGCUGACCCAGAAAAAUAAAUGAGCUGACUUCCUGGGGACCAUCACUAAACCAGUUUGUCUCCUGAAUCUGGAAGGACUCUCUGGGCUCAAUCUUUCAAGAAAAAACUAGCACUUACUCCCAAGUCUGCAGGAUUUGGCUUUGCCUGUGCUGAAUUUGCUACAUUCUCCAGGGACCAGGGUCCAUAUAUGGGCCUUUUUCAAAAUAACUGAGAAAAAAAUGUCAUUAUGCUAUUUAUUAGUGAUACUUAAACUGUAGGUAAUUUUGAUGACCAAAAGUUGCAAGAGGAAUCAUAACGGCAAAUCUGUUUCAGUGCUGGGUUCUGCAUGUCAAAUGGGUGAACAGCGAAAGGCUACAAGAGUUUUGUUUGCAGUUGCCAAACCUUGUUUUUUAAAGUUGUUGGAAAUCCAAGAAAAUGUUUGUAUGUGAGUCUUUUCAGACCUGGGCUUAUGAUUGCAUUAUCAUUCACAUGCCUGUGGCAUGCUUUAAGGAACAGUUGUUGAAUCCCAUAAGAAUAGGAACAUUUUAAAUGGCCAAAAGGCAUGUCAGAAAAUAUAUAUUUUUCAUUUUAUAAUGGAAUAAUUUGUCUAAGAUUUGGACAUAAAUGUAGAAAAUAUUUUUACCAGGCUAUAUUGCUAAUGCAAGAAAAGUAGGCCUAAAAAUGGAUUUUGUACCAUAGUAAUAAAAAAACCCCACUAUUCUGAUCCAAUAAUUUUACUUUAACAUAAAAUUGUCACAAAUAGACAAGAGAAAGCAUGCAAGGCAGUCUGAAAAGUCCAGUGCUAUGCCCAUAUCAUUAAUUAGGAUAGCAGUGUGGUCUAGUGGUUUGAACAGGAAUCUGUGAGCCAAGAUUCCUGGACGUUGUUCCUGGCUACACCAGGGCUGCUGUGUGUCUUUGGCACAUCUUGUAACCUCUCUUUGCCUUAGUUUGUCCCUCUGUAAAAUAACACAUGGAAGAAAUAGGAGUUUUUUGAGUGUGAGCUAAUACUGGUAAAGUUUUUUUCAGAUUCCUGGAUAAAAAGUGCUAUAGAAAUACUUAGUGUUAUAGCAAACAGACUACAAAGCCUGUGUUAUAACGAGAGGGUUAAGGACCCUAACUUUAAUCUAACGAAGGAAAUUUAGAAUUAAGUCUGGCACUUCCCACGUAGAGGAAAUGCAGUGAGUUCGCACUCAGUUACCACCUGUAUCAUCCAUUGGGUUUGAAUUAGGAGUUGUUCUCCGCUUCCCUGCAGAAAUAGUAGAGGGGUUGGCUUGCAGAACCUGUGUGUCUAAGGGGAACCACUGGAGGACAGGGUCAUAGAUGUGGAGAUCUUGGGCCUACAUACUGACUCCUGGCACACUUGAUACACUUUCUGUGCAUGGUUCUUAUCUCAGGACUAGAAUGUUAAAAAUAAAUACAUAUUUACUUGCUCAGAUAUAGUCACUCCUCCAGAAAAACAGGUUGUAGACAAGAAUAUUCAUUGGUUUCCUAUGGCCUCUUUAACAGUCUCAUCUCUAUUAGAGGUAGACUGUUGAGUUCCCCACUCCUCCCUUUGAAUGUCCUGGUGUAACAGCAGAGUAGACUACCUCUCUGCCCAGUUAUAGUCUUGGCUAUGCUGCUACAGCAAUAGGGGUUUUCUUCAAGGACAAUCUUUCGACCAGCAUAUAAAAGAUCAGCUAUGCAAAAAGUUCGGUGCUUGCUUUCACCAACCAGUAUUGAAAAUGUAGACAUGUGGAACACUAACCCCAAAAUUCUCCAGGGACUAUUGUUAAACCCUUUUAAGGUACAAUAACAGUUUUCCCUGAAACAAACAACCCCCAAACAAAAUGCAGCAUUUUAAGGCAAAACAAGCCUUGGGCAAAUCUAAGCACAGCCUCAGCAUUCGUUAUACAUUAGAAAGCACUCACUCCUGUAGCUGCAGGUAAUCCAAAUACACCAGAGUGACACUCUUUCACAGCAUUUCCAUUAUAUAUUGCACUAUUAAAAGGAGAAUGAUAAUUGCAGGGAAUCUUCAAAUACUUCAAACUUAAUAUAUGUGCGCCUACUGGAACUAUGGGAGCUAAAACUGAUUUUUAUAGCUCGAUGUUCUGGCAACAAAGGUUAUUGGAAGGGUUUUUAGCAGAACCAACCACCAACAUAAUUUAUCUGACCACAGAACAGAUAUAUUGGGGAAAAAGAGAGAUACACAUAAGGGAGGAUUUCUUGUGUUGGGAAAUUUAAUAAAAGGUUUGAAUUUAAGCCUUCAAGUAAGACUUCCUGUUAGAAUUAACAUCUUGAUGAUAUACAUUUUAUUUUUUGCUUUAGAAAUAAUGAUACUGGUAAUAUAAUAAAAUCUGAUAAGGUGGGGAGAAAUACUACAGUCAAUGCAAAGCUGUUGUUAAAGGAAAAAAACACUUUGGCUCAGAAACAUGAAUUAUACAUAUUGUCAGUCAACACACUAAACAAAAUUCUUAUUCUUAGCGUUAGAAAGAUCAGAAAUUACAGAGCAGCUUUUCCUAGAGGCCAAAUUUAAAAAAUUGUGAAGAUCAGAACAUCAAAUAUUAAAGUAUAUGAUAACAGAAACCCAGUCAGUAAAGAAUGCUUAUGUCCCAGUUACUGUUCCAAAGCUAUAUGUUUACAAAGAAAAUCUAAAAGAAAGAUCAUUCGCAUUUGGGAAUAAUUGCAUUUGAAAGUAAACCUUCCUUUGAAUUAUCCAGAUGACUUUCUGACCAGAUUUCCCCAACUUCCUUUUUUAAAUUGCGCAGGUAAUCUUUUCAGCCACUUCUGAAGUGAAAUAACAGUUUAUGACAAGAAGGUUGGUGGGCUAGAUUCUCUGCUGGUGUAACUUCACUGACUUCAAUGCAUGUCUAUCACGAGAGAGUUUGACCUCUCCUUGUUGCAAUUGGUGGUGGAAUUGUGGAGAAACAGGACACAGCUACCCAAACUGGAAUUUAUCUAAGGCACCAGGGAUGAGGCCAUAAUCUUGCAAGUACCACUAUGACCACAAAUGCCUCAAAUCCUGUAUGAUAAAAAUAAACUUCCUUUCCCAACAGCACACUGUGGGCAUUAGUUCAAUAACAGACCCAUUGGGGGAGACUGUUGUCUACAUGAUCAUCAGACUUGCUUUCUGCAGCACUUAAGGUUUCUUUCUUCUGUUAUUUUAGGCUUUCUUGCCACAUACAGACCAGUCUCACCUAAGAUCCAGUCCUGUAAACACUUAAGCACAUGUGUAACUUUACUCACUGAGUACAGUUUCUCACCUGCUGAAGUAUUUGCAGGAUCUGGCCCUUAGCAUAUGUUAUCCGACAAGAUCACAAGUUGAGAUUUGUACAAUGUAAAUGGUUUGUUUUGAAAAUUUCCGUUGUGCAGACUAGCAAGCACCCAUCUUUCUCUGCCUGGUGAUACAGAGGUCCAGUACUUUGGUUUCAGUUUGCAGUUACCACAGAAGACUCUGAUUAUUCAGUUUUACCAAUAUUUUAUAUUUUGAAAUAUGAACUUAUUCUGUAAUUGAAAACUUCUAACAUGAUCAAGACCUCUUCAUAGCACGGGAGCCAGCAGGCUCUUUCACAAUUCUUUACCCAAUGAACUUAUUUUGUGUGAGUGUGUUUUUGUUGGGAAUGGUUAACUGUAAGUUCUCCUGUUCUCUCCUGAUUCGUAUGAAUUUCUUUGUUUUAUUCUCUGGAGGCAACAAAAUAUUAAAAUUAAAGAAGAAAAAAGCUUCAAGAAAAAACUAUGUUGUGUCAACAUCUUGGAAAAGAUCUUAGAGAACGUUUUAUUGUAAAAAGUUUUUAAUAAGGACUUUUAAAUACUGAUAAUUUAUCUCAUCUAAACACUGCAGAUAGUAAUCCUGAAGUAGAGCUCCCUGGGUGAUGAAUCAAUAUAUAUAUCCCCAAGGCAAGAGAAAGUUCCAUAUGGGGACAUAAACUGAAUAACGUACAAGGAAAACCCAUAGUUUUAGCAACACUUAUGUCUCUGCAUUACACUAAAGAUAGACACAGGCCACAUUUUGCAUUGUCUUACAGCCACAGGAUCUCACAGGGGUUAUAUGGGUGUAAAUCAGCAUAGAAUUUGGCCCUUAUUUCUCCUGUGCCACAAAUUUUCCCUCCAUCUCAUGCCUGGAAAAGCAGCUAAUUCUCUCACUGUCACGUUAAAAAUAACACUUAGAAAAGCAACAGUUUAUGCUAAUAACACGAGUUAAGCUUGAUGUGAAUGCCCCCAACCAACAGCCUUAGCAGCAUGGAAGCUGGAGUGCAAUCUACAGACUGCAUGUGACAAGCAAAGAUAGAGGAUUUUGAAAUGACUAGUAGGGAGGCAGGGCAUUCUUCCAGGAUCUAUUGGCACCCUACAGUAUUAAAAGAAACACACAAAAAUUAUAUAUGGAAACUACCCACAAAGGUAGCUUAGUGGCCCACUGGUGCUAUGACUGUUGCUAGGCAUAAAUCUGCAUCCUAAAGCAGCCAUAUUUAGGUUCUUUAAAAGCCAUGGAGUCAUAGAAUUUUAGGCCAGAAGGGACCAGCAGAUCAUUUAAUCUGACUGCCUGUAUAUCACCGGCCACCACCAGCACCCAGCAGCUGCACACUGAAUCCAGCAACUGAAAUUAGAUCAAGAUAUUAACGGUCCUCAGGAGACCAAACAAAUACAUGUCACAGGCAGAGAAUAGAAGGGACCCAGAUGGCCCAUGCUCAAGGCCCUUGCAAUGGCAGGGAACUGAGAUAUUCCAAGAUGAUCAUGGCAAACAACUUGCACACCAGGCUGCAGAGGAAGAUGAAGCCCCCAGAAGGUCACUGCCAAUCUGAUCUGAGGAAAAAUUCCUUCCUGACCUCACAUAUGGCAAUCAGUUAGACCCUGAGCAUAUGAGCAAGAACCAGGCAGCGAAGCACCCGAGAGAGAGAGAAUGCUCAGUAUCACAUCAGAGCACGAGCACACCCCGUACAGUGUCCCAUCUCCAGCUAUGGCCAGAUAAUAUAAACUUGCCUGACACCAUGCUCUGACGGUCAGUGAACCUGAGAUGGGGCAGACUGCCAAGGGAAGCUGAAUUCCACAAAUAAGGCUACUCUGUUGAGGAUCCCCAUCUGCUUUUCCAAGUGUCCUCCAGGUCAGGGGCAUAAUUUUGGGAAAAAAAUAUAUGGGGGUUGGGGGGCAAAGUUGUGUCAGCAUAUAGAACAUUAUAUGUGAUUAUAUUAUAUUCCUGAAAUAUAUUUAUAUGGGAGGCACAAAGUAGAAAAUAUAAUGAAGAAUAUAGACCUAUGAAAAUUCGGGAGGGGCAAACCAAGGACUGGUGUGGGCAACUGCCCCUCUUAACCCAUAGCACAUGAUGCCCCUGCUCAAGUGAUGUCUGUGUUUGUUAUAAGGUACUUUUUGUUUGUAACACUUUCUUGAAAGCUUAAAAAUAAAAGGUAUUUCUUUACU
Long non-coding RNA from Chelonia mydas (Green sea turtle), 6268 nucleotides. RefSeq lists it as uncharacterized. The record is from RefSeq and is a predicted model, not a curated record. NCBI's taxonomy places the organism in Eukaryota, Metazoa, Chordata, Testudines, Cheloniidae. The transcript is spliced from 4 exons.